AUUGCAUGUUAACGUAUCAAUACCGCGCGACCAUUAGUUUUAAUUUUCUUAUUCGAUGACUCCGCCAAAAAUAAAUUUUUCAAAUAACGCUCGUGUCAAUAUUUUAGUUUCUUCUGAGUACAACGAGUGCCUGAUAUUAGUUUUACUCUGAUGGUUUGUUGAAAAGGCUUUAUCGGUUAGUGAAAAUUCUCCGACUUUUUCA
This is a non-coding RNA of Cinara cedri, 202 nucleotides long. NCBI's taxonomy places the organism in Eukaryota, Metazoa, Arthropoda, Insecta, Hemiptera, Aphididae. The record is from the annotation of a GenBank genome assembly.